CCUGCCGUCGCCGCGGCAACUUUUCUCCCACCUCAGGUUUGCCACCGAGCCAACCAACGCCGUGCCCUCGAUCCAAAAUCCCAUGGCCUCGUCCUGAUCCAAUGUAGUCGCACCUGUCGUCCUCGCCUGCGAACACCCCGCCGUUUGAUUCGGGAUGCGCUGGCACCACAGCUCCUCCCGUCCGCCCUAGGAGCUCGCGCCCGAUGCCUCCUCACGCUAACGGCGACCGGCGCCGCCGCGAGCGACCGAACCAGGCCAGUCGCAUCACCCCUCUUCUUCUUCUCUCCCUCUCUCUCUCAUGCCCUGCUCUCUCCCUCCCAUGAUAGGAACAACCAUGGUGCUCCUCCGUCGAAGCUCGUCACGUCCGUCCUCGUCUUUCGCGUCCACACGCAUCGCUGCCGCACGGAAUCGUCGCUGGAAAGCCACCUCCGACGGACCUGCGAGACCCUGUCUCUUCCUCGAGUUAAGCCGCGCAAGAACCCAUGGAGGCGUGCGUCCUGUCUCUCGUAGAGCUUCCGAGCCGUGGACGCAUGGCCGCCGUCUAUGUGAAGCGUGCCAUGUCCGGCCUCUCGUCGUCGGCCACCGGAGCCGCAGCCAUCUCCGCUGGAGUAAGCAUGCAUCCUCGACCGUGGCACGCAGCAUCUCUGUUUCCCAUGUUCUGUUUGGUUCGGUCAAUGCCAAAGUACCUGUCAUGUAGCGCAAAAACCUGUGAUUUUUCACAUUCGCUUCGUAGUCUGUCUAGUCAGCGCUUUGGUCUGGAACCACGUGAUCGUGGGUUCGAGUCACCAUGGAUGCAUUAUGUUUUCACGCAUUUUUCCUUCACCCGCAAAUUAGCUUUUGUCUUUGCUUCAGUUAAAAUGGAAUCCAUGUUCGUUCACACA
This is a long non-coding RNA of Hordeum vulgare subsp. vulgare (domesticated barley), 881 nucleotides long. RefSeq lists it as uncharacterized. The record is from RefSeq and is a predicted model, not a curated record. NCBI's taxonomy places the organism in Eukaryota, Viridiplantae, Streptophyta, Magnoliopsida, Poales, Poaceae. The transcript is spliced from 2 exons.